Long non-coding RNA from Chinchilla lanigera (long-tailed chinchilla), 403 nucleotides. RefSeq lists it as uncharacterized. The transcript has 2 exons. The record is from RefSeq and is a predicted model, not a curated record. NCBI's taxonomy places the organism in Eukaryota, Metazoa, Chordata, Mammalia, Rodentia, Chinchillidae.
GGGAAUCAAACUGAGGACUUUGCACUUGCCAGGCAGGCGCUUAUGCCACUGAACUAUAUCCCCAGCCCAGGACUGGAAUUCUUAAGAGGUCAUUUAAAACAGAGGAAGAACAAAAUAUUUCUGCACAGUGGAUUUACCCACGUGGAAAGUAACAGCACAAACAUUGUUGGCGUGGAAGCCAGGAGCAAUGGAACAAGCAUUCUGAGGUCCUAUUGCUUCAAAAUUCACCAUGGCUGAAAGAUUACCCCAGUUGGAGAUACUCUUACUUUGGUAGAGCUUACAUAUAUACAAAGACUAAUUGACUGUGUUGUCAGCAUUGGGAAAGGAAUGAAUAAUGCUCAGAUGGCCACUCUGUACCGUGCAUACCGUACUCUGUGACUAUUAAACCCUCAUAACAAGCCAA